RNAcentral lists this long non-coding RNA (555 nucleotides) under Triticum aestivum (bread wheat). RNAcentral's name for it is "long non-coding RNA (TAES_LNC007005)". The record is from RNAcentral. Lineage: Eukaryota; Viridiplantae; Streptophyta; Magnoliopsida; Poales; Poaceae.
UGACCCUGAUCAUGAAUAGGUUUGAUACCAGAUCGUGACAACAAACACGAUUGUCCACGUAGAGGCUACAGCUGAAACAUUAGCUUCCAAAUUUGAAGGCAUGCAAAUAGCAUUACUAUUAAGUUCAAAAUGCAUAAACCUCAUCAGUUCAAACAUUCACAGCAGCUCAGAGUUGCAAUUGCAAUGCAUAAACCGGUACCCAAACAAUCUGCCACAAAGCAAGAAAAAAAGCUGGUAACACUAUGGGAUAAGAUCUGUCGCGGCCUAAGCCUUGAGCUUGCCGUAGAACUUCUGCUUCUCGUCGGUGGUCUGGAACCGGCCAUGCCCAAACUUUGAUGAGGUGUCGAUGAACUUGAGCUUGAUCUCCUCAAGGGCCAACCGCGACGUCUGCUUUAACAGGGACUGGCGGAGGGUCACCACUCUCUUCUUGGGGCCCACACAGCAGCCCUUGAUCAUGAGGUAGUCACCCUUCACCACACCAUAGUGAGGGAAGCCACCCAUCGGGGUGAUGUCCUUCUCAGUCCUGCAAGCACCAGCAUGGCCGUCAGUUUCAUG